UUUUUUAUAAAGUGGGUUCACUAGUUAGGUGGGUCCCCAUUGUCAGGUUAUAGUACUGGGUCCUAGCCAUCAGGGCAAUAUUCUUCAAUUUUUUAAUUUAACGCAAAUAAAUACCUAGUAUUUAAAUUGGCACACAGAACACACGAAAUACUUCAAAUAUUAUCAACCAUCAAAGCGUUACAUCAUAUAACACACAUACAAAUGUGAUCAGCAUCAAGUUUACAAUCAGAUAACAAGCUCCACAAGUGUACAAUCACAUGAGCCAGAUUCUGCUACAUCAUAUAACACACAUACAAAUAGGAGCAGCAGAAAGGGCUUCAUUACUCUCAGAACUAGCUCCAAUGAGCUAGAACUAUUCUUCCUCCGACUUCUUUGUCCUGAUGCUCACGAAGAAACAUGAAAGCCAGCAUCUGCAUGUUACAGAACAAAAUGUUUAGGAACAAAAUAUAAGUAAAUCUAACAGCAUAUUUAACAAUAAAUAACAGAAUAAUGAAGUUAAUGAGACAUUUUAGAAUCAACUUGACAGUUGACUAUAAUGUUUGCAUUGGACACAUCCAAAACUAAAAUUAUACAUAAAUGCCUAAAUUCCAAUGCCCAAUGCCUCAGUUUAGUAAACACUAAGGGUACAUAGUAAAGAUUUGACACAACCAGAACUGAAAUCAUUUACUCUAUCAAGCAACAAUGAUGCAGCACACAAGAAAAGAGAGAUGCACAACGGAGCAGCAUCGUAUAUGACACAAUAUGGACACUGCAAGCUCACCGAAGAACUUGUGGUCGCCACCGUACACAGCCGCCAUAACGCCGGUCACCUCGUUGAUCUUGUCCUUGAAGUUCUCUAACUCCAGGUUGUUCCACUGCAGCUCGGUAUUUGCUCAACCGUAUGUGUACAUGCAUCAGGGCAUACAUAAAAUAUUCAAGUCAAUAUUCUCAGCUAACUGUGAUGUAAUGAAAAUAAUUACUUAAGGACUUGGGGUAAAAAUUGAUUUUAGACAUCAAAAUUUGCAGUGCUCAUUUCAACCAUGUUCAGAUAAACUUGAGGUAAAUUAGCAGUAAUGAUAUUAGUUGCAAGCUAGGUGUGUAACUGUUGUCAACACCACCACCACCAGAGACACUCAAGAUAAGCAUCAACACCAACAUGAUCUUGAUAUUAGCCACCCCAUAUCACCAGAGCAUCAUAGGAGCAUAUAUAUAAAGCAAGUACACAUGGGCAGCUACUGACAGACCCUAGAACCGCAUGAAUUUAUCACCAGAGAGCUCCAGUAGGAGUUGAUGCUUGGUUACAACAUCUAGCAGCAACUAGUAGAGCCCCACAUCCAACCCAAAUCAUGGCCAAGGCCAUGCAGGAGCUACAUCAGAGAAGAAGGAACAGGGAGGAGCUCACCAGAGGGAGGUUGUAGCCGUAGCAGAGGCUCAGCCACACCACGGCUGCUGUGGAUGGUGACUCCAGGACAGCAGAGUAACAACAACGAUUCAGACUUGUUCCUCCAUGAGCAUGAGCUGCUGCAGAUGGAGCUCCUCCUCCUAGGCUUGUUGGCCCCAUCCUGCUCGUCACCAAUCGAUGUGCCGUCCCUGUGGUUGUGGAAUAGGAGCGCAUCAGGAAACCAAGGAAGAGAAGAUCAAAUCAUUUUUAUAUACACCCGUCUAAAUACACCCCACUAAAUACACCCAUCUAAAUACGUCCCGUGGUUAUGUUCAUAAUCAGAUCAGACAUUGAAUGAAACAAAAAUACACCCCACUGAUGAAGCCGCAAUAAUUGUCUUGGAUGUAUCCAUCACAGCAAUAAACAAGCACCAUAUUUCGCCAAAUCUCUAUUCUAUAAACAAUUUUCUCUGGACGAACUAUUCAAACCACCCAUCUAAACAAUACCGCAUCUGUCGUCACUCAAGUCAAUAAUACUCGUUGACAGGUCCACCAUCCAACACAAGGAUAAGAUACAGAAUUGGUGCAUCAUUUCAGGCAGCGCAAGCAAACUAAACAAAACAGCUUAAACCCUAGAUAAAUCUUAUGGCCGGUUGGGGGAAAGCAGAAACGGAAGAAGUACUAGAUUCAAAUUGCACAUUCAGUCAAGUUUAGUCAAUACAUGUAUGACACAGCCAUGCAUGACACAAACAAAAUAUACAGUUCAUCUCCUGAUCCACAUUACAAUCCAAGGCAAAGUACUAGUAAAUAAAAUAGUACGUACUCUGGUGACCACCGAGCUAGCUGAUUACCAGUUUACCACACUGAUUAUGACAGGAACAGAAACGAAAGGGAA
RNAcentral lists this long non-coding RNA (2254 nucleotides) under Triticum aestivum (bread wheat). RNAcentral describes it as "long non-coding RNA (TAES_LNC013733)". The record is from RNAcentral. Lineage: Eukaryota; Viridiplantae; Streptophyta; Magnoliopsida; Poales; Poaceae.